ACUAUCAAAUUCACCCGCAAAAGCAAACUCGAUUCACAACAACCCCAGAAAACUUAUUGACAGAAACCGAGAAAACUUAGAGUCAAUGACGAAUUCAAGCAUUCCACAAGUAAGAUGCCACCACACGCAAAAAAACUCGUAUCACAAUAACCCAGAAAACUUUUUGACAGAAAACUUAUUUACAAGUUACAACAAUCCGACAGUUCACGACGCUAAGCUUAUUUACAAACGUGUUGACUUGACUUCCUUAAGAGGGUAUAGAGAUCAACACAACACAGAGAAUUUCUUAGAACUAUAUUCUUAUUGAUAACAAACUGUUUACAAUUGUUAUCUCGGAUAUUACUUGAUCUAUUCUACCCAAAUGAUCAAACCCGACUAAGAAUACCUAAGCCUAAUUCUCUUCUCUGUUUCUUAUCACUCUCACGUGAAGACAAGGAGAACUACACACUCACCUUCAAGCUUUUGCAAUGCUCUGAAGUUUACAAUCGUAUGACAGUAUUCUAGAGUGCUUAAAGCGCCUCACGCUAAGUUCUAGAAUACUUAUCCCUACUCUCCAGAACCCUAAACCUAGGAUCUCCGAGAAUCUCGUUUUAAAGAAUCUUCCUUGUUUCCAAGCUUAUUCCUUCCUAAAUCUUCGAGACUUGAUUUGACUCCUCAAACCCUAACUCCUCUUUUUCCCUCCAAUACCCGAGCAAAAACUUCUUGAAUCCUUAUUGGAUUUUGAAACUCGAACUGGGCUUGGACCUAAAAAUUGUAUUACUCUAAAACACUUAACAAACGCAUAAGAGCUCAUUUGCCAAGAAACCCAUCAAUCAAAUUUUUUUAGUUAGCACAGGAUUGCAAAUAGCAGAGAUGAGAUGAUUUCAACAGUCAUAUCCUGAAACAGUUUAGUGACCCAAACAGAUAAUUGAUACAUGCGGGUAGUAGCUUUCCAAACAUUUUCAAAGCAUAUCUCUUCCUUGUACUCUGUUCAGUGCUUUGUGUCUAUCGGUUGUUCAGAACUUAGAAAGAAACUGUUACAACCACUCAGAUCGUUGAUAGAUCAGCUCAAUGUUCAGUGGCUAGUCUUUCACACUGUCAUGCCUUCAGUUCUAAACGAUCAAGGCAAUGUGUAACAAGCAGCUGGAAUUUCCUUUGAAGAUAGCUUUACCAAACAGGAGCUUGAUGAUAUGUGUUUUUGAACUGCUCCUUAUUUUUGUCAUAUUAGCAAUAUCACUUGACUUCUUAAUUGCUGAUAUUCGAACUUAGUGAUCUUGAUACACUUUUUUUUUU
RNAcentral lists this small RNA (1272 nucleotides) under Arabidopsis thaliana (thale cress). Its description in RNAcentral is "ATSL154890". The record is from RNAcentral. Lineage: Eukaryota; Viridiplantae; Streptophyta; Magnoliopsida; Brassicales; Brassicaceae.